RNAcentral lists this ribosomal RNA (878 nucleotides) under Muellerites juniperi. Its description in RNAcentral is "LSU rRNA". It matches the Rfam family "Eukaryotic large subunit ribosomal RNA", at positions 76 to 967 of the family's 3401-position model. Lineage: Eukaryota; Fungi; Ascomycota; Dothideomycetes; Dothideales; Neocelosporiaceae. The record is from RNAcentral.
UGCCCUAGUAACGGCGAGUGAAGCGGCAACAGCUCAAAAUUUGAAAUCUGGCACUUGUGUCCGAGUUGUAAUUUGUAGAGGAUGCUUUUAGGCAGCCACCGGUCUAAGUUCCUUGGAACAGGACGUCAUAGAGGGUGAGAAUCCCGUAUGUGACCGGAAAGGCACCUUCUGUAAAGCUCCUUCGACGAGUCGAGUUGUUUGGGAAUGCAGCUCUAAAUGGGAGGUAAAUUUCUUCUAAAGCUAAAUACCGGCGAGAGACCGAUAGCGCACAAGUAGAGUGAUCGAAAGAUGAAAAGCACUUUGGAAAGAGAGUUAAAAAGCACGUGAAAUUGUUGAAAGGGAAGCGCUUGCAAUCAGACUUGUCCUCGGGUGUUCCGCCGGUCUUCUGACCGGUCUACUCAUUCGGGGACAGGCCAGCAUCACUUUCGGCGGCCGGAUAAAGGCAUUGGGAAUGUAGCUCACCCUUCGGGGGGAGUGUUAUAGCCCAGUGUGUAAUACGGCCAGCCGGGAGUGAGGUCCGCGCUUCGGCUAGGAUGCUGGCGUAAUGGUUGUAAGCGGCCCGUCUUGAAACACGGACCAAGGAGUCUAACAUCUAUGCGAGUGUUCGGGUGUCAAACCCCUACGCGUAAUGAAAGUGAACGGAGGUGAGAACCGCAAGGUGCAUCAUCGACCGAUCCUGAUGUCUUCGGAUGGAUUUGAGUAAGAGCAUAGCUGUUGGGACCCGAAAGAUGGUGAACUAUGCCUGAAUAGGGUGAAGCCAGAGGAAACUCUGGUGGAGGCUCGCAGCGGUUCUGACGUGCAAAUCGAUCGUCAAAUUUGGGGUAUAGGGGGCGAAAGACUAAUCGAAACCAUCUAGUAGCUGGGUUCCUGGCCGAAGU